This 400-nucleotide ribosomal RNA is filed under the name uncultured bacterium. Its description in RNAcentral is "bacterial SSU rRNA". It matches the Rfam family "Bacterial small subunit ribosomal RNA", at positions 355 to 747 of the family's 1533-position model. The record is from RNAcentral.
UGGGGAAUUUUUCGCAAUGGGGGCAACCCUGACGAAGCAAUGCCGCGUGAAUGAAGAAGGCCUUCGGGUUGUAAAGUUCUUUCGUGGGGGACGAAAAGGUAAUCGCUAAUAUCGGUUACUGUUGACGUGAACCCAAGAAGAAGCGCCGGCUAACUCCGUGCCAGCAGCCGCGGUAAUACGGAGGGUGCGAGCGUUAAUCGGAAUCACUGGGCGUAAAGGGCGCGUAGGCGGUGGGUUACGUCUGCCGUGAAAUCCCCGGGCUCAACCUGGGAAUGGCGGUGGAAACGGGCUGACUAGAGUAUGGGAGAGGGUGAUGGAAUUCCAGGUGUAGCGGUGAAAUGCGUAGAGAUCUGGAGGAACAUCAGUGGCGAAGGCGGUCACCUGGCCCAAUACUGACGCU